Molecule: ribosomal RNA, 484 nt
Filed under: uncultured bacterium
Lineage: Bacteria
Description: partial 16S ribosomal RNA
Rfam family: Bacterial small subunit ribosomal RNA
Source: RNAcentral
AUUGAACGCUGGCGGCAGGCCUAACACAUGCAAGUCGAGCGGAUGAAGGGAGCUUGCUCCUGGAUUCAGCGGCGGACGGGUGAGUAAUGCCUAGGAAUCUGCCUGGUAGUGGGGGAUAACGUCCGGAAACGGGCGCUAAUACCGCAUACGUCCUGAGGGAGAAAGUGGGGGGUCUUCGGACCUCACGCUAUCAUAUGAGCCUAGGUGGGAUUAGCUAGUUGGUGGGGUAAAGGCCUACCAAGGCGACGAUCCGUAACUGGUCUGAGAGGAUGGUCAGUCACACUGGAACUGAGACACGGUCCAGACUCCUACGGGAGGCAGCAGUGGGGAAUAUUGGACAAUGGGCGAAAGCAUGAUCCAGCCAUGCCGCGUGUGUGAAGAAGGUCUUCGGAUUGUAAAGCACUUUAAGUUGGGAGGAAGGGCAGUAAGUUAAUACCUUGCUGUUUUGACGUUACCAACAGAAUAAGCACCGGCUAACUUCGUG